RNAcentral lists this unclassified non-coding RNA (346 nucleotides) under soil metagenome. Its description in RNAcentral is "partial contains 5.8S ribosomal RNA, internal transcribed spacer 2, and large subunit ribosomal RNA". The stretch from base 1 to 121 matches the Rfam family "5.8S ribosomal RNA", at positions 35 to 154 of the family's 154-position model. The record is from RNAcentral.
GAUGAAGAACGUAGCGAAAUGCGAUAAGUAAUGCGAAUUGCAGAAUUUCCGUGAGUCAUCGAAUCUUUGAACGCACAUUGCGCCCACUGGUAUUCCGGUGGGCAUGCCUGUUCGAGCGUCAUUAUCCUCCCUCAAACCCCGGGUUUGGUGUUGGACCCAAGUUGUGUGAACAACUGGUCUCAAAGACAAUGACGGCGUCCGUGGGACCCUCGGUGCAACGAGCUUUUAGGAGCACGCAUCGAGUUGCAAGGACCUUCCGGGCCGGUCUCCUUUACCAUUUUACAAGGUUGACCUCGGAUCAGGUAGGAAUACCCGCUGAACUUAAGCAUAUUCAAUAAGCGGAGGA